GGAUCUGGAAUUGAGCAGAAUGGAAAACAGAUUUUCAGUAAGGCAGCUGGAAAAUCGCAAAGGGCACAAAAUGGUGGCGUGGAAGAUUCGUGCAGCGCAGGUGGGAUGGCAACAGGACAACAGAUGCUUUGCUGCGCAGCAAAUUGGCAAACGGCUACGGUCUCGCGCGAGGUCCUUUUCCUUUUAUCCUUGGGUUUCCCUACACAAAAGCGCAGCGAGUGCGCAAUUGUUGUAAUUUGAUGAUUUAUGAGGCGAAAGACCAAAAAUUUGCGCACUGCCCGCCCGCCAACACGAAACAAGCUGAAAGGAUCCCUCCGCAUAUCCUUGGGCAUCCUUGGUGGCAAGGCAGCAAAAGAGCCAAAGAGCCAGGCAGGCAGACAAGCAGACGACGUAAAAUAUUUUUGCGGAGAAAGGACAAUUUAUGCGACACAGACGGCGACAAAGGCGAAAAGGACGUGUGUGCGUAAAUUCAUUAGGAUACGGCCAGCGUUUUCUACGCCCGACGCCAAGACGAACCAAAACCGAAACCCUUGCCAAACAAUUAGAGGAGAAAAUAUAUUUAUAGUCCUGGCUGAUGUUGUUAAGGGGAUGGAAAAGCGUCUGGCGCUUUUGUUGCUUGUGUCAUCGAAGCCGCUCCACAAAAAGAUGAUAAAUUGUUGGAAAAUUACGUGCACAAACAUACAUCCGUAAACAAGUUGGGCAACCGGAAAUUUAUGUUUAAUAAUUUGCUGCCGUUCUCGCUGGCAAAGGAUUUUGCCGUAUUUCGUGUAUUCGGGAUUUACACUUUUAUGACGGGCCAUUAAAGAAGAGGUUUGCCCUUUCCCCCUCUUUAUUUCCCUGACAAAAAGGGCUGAGGUCUCUGACUCCGGUGAUGCGGCGGCAUGAAUGUUUCAUCAGUUGUCGUGUCAUGAUAAAUUUGAUCUUUUCAGCUCAUCAUCGCUCAGGCCCUCGGAAAUGAGCUCGCAGAAAUGCCAAAAGGGCUUCAAUUAACGAACUAUAAACAAGCUGCUAACUUGGUCAAAACAAAGAAGGACUGCAGCACUAGGUGCUCUCCACUUACCAUGCAGUUCGCCUGCCCUGCGGAUCCUGCGGAUGUGAGGGGCAAAUACAAAACAGGACCUUAAAGCUGCUUUGACUGGCGGCUGCUCUUCAAAGUUUCAAGGCUCUGGCCAAGUUUUUUGUCCACCUCGAGUCCUUUGCGAAUGGCGGGGGCGUCGACUGGGGGCGUGGUGAUGCGUUUAAUUAUGCUAAAAGCAGGCAGCAACUUUGCCAGCUACAGAAAUGAAUAUUUACACCUGCCCGGAUGCAAAUGUGGCGCCAAUGUCAAAGCCAUUCACUGUCGCAGUGCCAGGGGUAAACAGAACUCCGAUAUGUAUCUUUUGGCACUAUUCAAUGCUAGUGAUUUGCUUUAAUUAACGUGUUUCACAGAUCACUUUCUCACUCGUUUAAUGUCCUGCAACACUUUUGGAAGUCGCUGCAAUUUCCCACUUCUUACGACUUUUGGGAAUUGUCCCGUUGAAGCCCGGAAAAACACUGGACUCGCACAGGCUUUUGCGACGGAAAACGCGAACGAACUGACUGGCUGGGAAACUGAACAAUGGCUUUUCAAUGCUAACUUGGCUCGGCUUGGAAAUCUCAACACGCGCUCUCUGCGAUUUUUGGAAAAUCGCCCCCCUUUUCCGCUUCCCAACGAAAUGUGUGCAAAAUGUUUGUUUACAUUUGGCAGAAAGCAAUUGGGAGGAGUAUGAGGCGGAAGGACCGAGGAAUCAGAACCCAAUUGGAUGUUGCCUACUUUUGGGCCUGUGAAAUAUGACUUCUGCAAUCGAAGUGGAGAUGCAAUUGCAUUUGGCCUAAAGCUUUAGGCCUGCAACCAGCUGUUCCAGCGGAAGCGUUAGUAAGCCGGGCUAAAACCGAUUUUCCACACAGCUUUGACAUGGCUGCCAUCCAUCUAAUGAACUGCCCUCGCCGGCUGCUGAUGGAUAAAACUUUUUUAAUUAUCAUUAAUGAACACGAAGGGCGCAAUCAUUGGCCAAGUUGCGCUUUGCAAUUAUUUUAAUGUUCAAUGAGGUUGCUGCAGCAGUCAUCGCCAAUGAUUUAUUACCGCCCCCUUAGCUUUUCCAAAGGCCACGGACGUCGGAGCCCAAGGUCCAAGGUCCAAAGUCCUCGGUCCAAAGUCCUCAGUUCAAAGCCCAAAGUGUGUAUAUGUGUGUGUGAGUUGCCGGCAUUGGCAAUUAGAUAGCUGGAGGAGGAGGAGGAUAGAGGGAGCGGGAAGGUCCAUGAAACAGCGUUUAUGUUUAAUGCGU
Molecule: long non-coding RNA, 2303 nt
Organism: Drosophila santomea
Lineage: Eukaryota; Metazoa; Arthropoda; Insecta; Diptera; Drosophilidae
Exons: 3
Source: RefSeq, a predicted model, not a curated record